Molecule: transfer RNA, 69 nt
Filed under: Dipodomys ordii (Ord's kangaroo rat)
Lineage: Eukaryota; Metazoa; Chordata; Mammalia; Rodentia; Heteromyidae
Rfam family: tRNA
About the family: Transfer RNA (tRNA) molecules are approximately 80 nucleotides in length. Their secondary structure includes four short double-helical elements and three loops (D, anti-codon, and T loops). Further hydrogen bonds mediate the characteristic L-shaped molecular structure. tRNAs have two regions of fundamental functional importance: the anti-codon, which is responsible for specific mRNA codon recognition, and the 3' end, to which the tRNAs corresponding amino acid is attached (by aminoacyl-tRNA synthetases). tRNAs cope with the degeneracy of the genetic code in two manners: having more than one tRNA (with a specific anti-codon) for a particular amino acid; and 'wobble' base-pairing, i.e. permitting non-standard base-pairing at the 3rd anti-codon position.
Source: Rfam by way of RNAcentral
GGGAAUGUGGCUUAGUAGUAAAGUGCUUGCCUAGCAUGCAUGAAGCCCUGGGUUCGCUUCUCAGUACCA